Long non-coding RNA from Oncorhynchus gorbuscha (pink salmon), 505 nucleotides. RefSeq lists it as uncharacterized. The record is from RefSeq and is a predicted model, not a curated record. The transcript has 3 exons. NCBI's taxonomy places the organism in Eukaryota, Metazoa, Chordata, Actinopteri, Salmoniformes, Salmonidae.
AGUAAAGACAUAACAAUACUAUUACUAAUCAUCAAAAUAAUAAUAUGACUUUGCACUAAAGGAUAGUGAAUCAAUGUGGUAUGUCAUGUUAAAAAAAAGUGUGUGUGUGUGCGCGCGUGUGUGUGCGCGUGCCAUAGCGGGACCUUUGCUCUAUUCCCUGACCUACCUGAAUACCUGCCCUGACUGCCUCCUUGUCCAACAGAAGUUGUCAUUGGUUAGCAAAUACAGCACUCUGUAUAUCUUCAGUAAGAGAAAGGAGCUGACCUCUGCUGAACUGGAAGUGUUUAAGAAACAGGUGGACUGUCUCAAUUUGCCACCAGCUGUGUUCACAAACCCACAGAAAGAUUCCUGUCCAGAUCCGACACAGGACAACAGCAAAACACUGGACCUUGCGAAAGUGAUCGAAUUGCUGAGUGACAAGAUUGAUCUUCAGAAGACUUUAGAAGAGAUGAUAAGUAAAUUACAACUAGCGAGUAAUAAAGCUGAUUAAUUGUCAAAAUGUCAA